AAGAAACCAACAGGGAUUGCCCCAGUAGCGGCGAGUGAAGCGGCAAGAGCUCAGAUUUGAAAUCGUGUUUCGGCACGAGUUGUAGAGUGUAGGCGGGAGUCUCUGUGGAGCGCGGUGUCCAAGUCCCUUGGAACAGGGUGCCUGAGAGGGUGAGAGCCCCGUAGGGUGCUGCGCGAAGCUUUUGAGGCCCUGCUGACGAGUCGAGUUGUUUGGGAAUGCAGCUCCAAGCGGGUGGUAAAUUCCAUCUAAGGCUAAAUAUUGGCGAGAGACCGAUAGCGAACAAGUACUGUGAAGGAAAGAUGAAAAGCACUUUGAAAAGAGAGUGAAACAGCACGUGAAAUUGUUGAAAGGGAAGGGUAUUGGGCUCGACAUGGGGGGUGCGCACCGCUGUCUCUUGUAGGCGGCGCUCUGGGCGCCCUCUGGGCCAGCAUCGGUUCCUGCUGCGGGAGAAGGGGCUCCGGAAAGUGGCUCUUCGGAGUGUUAUAGCCGGGGCCAGAUGCCGCGUGUGGGGACCGAGGACUGCGGCUUCUGUCUCGGAUGCUGGCAUAACGGCGCAAUACCGCCCGUCUUGAAACACGGACC
Molecule: ribosomal RNA, 582 nt
Filed under: Pichia manshurica
Lineage: Eukaryota; Fungi; Ascomycota; Pichiomycetes; Pichiales; Pichiaceae
Description: eukaryotic LSU rRNA
Rfam family: Eukaryotic large subunit ribosomal RNA
Source: RNAcentral